CAAUAGCGUAUAUUAAAGUUGUUGCAGUUAAAAAGCUCGUAGUUGAAUUUUUGCUUGCCGCCGAUGUCGGAACUUCCGUACGUUCGGCGGCGUGCAUCCUUGGGUGGAACCUGUGUGGCAUUAGGUUGUCGUGCAGGGGAUGCUCAUCGUUUACUGUGAAAAAAUUAGAGUGUUCAAAGCAGGCUUACGCCGUUGAAUAUAUUAGCAUGGAAUAAUAAGAUAGGACCUUGGUACUAUUUUGUUGGUUUGCGCACCGAGGUAAUGAUUAACAGGGACAGUUGGGGGUAUUCGUAUUCCAUUGUCAGAGGUGAAAUUCUUGGAUUUCUGGAAGACGAACUACUGCGAAAGCAUUUACCAAGGAUGUUNUCAUUNA
Molecule: ribosomal RNA, 373 nt
Filed under: uncultured eukaryote
Lineage: Eukaryota
Description: partial 18S ribosomal RNA
Rfam family: Eukaryotic small subunit ribosomal RNA
Source: RNAcentral